Long non-coding RNA from Haemorhous mexicanus (house finch), 454 nucleotides. RefSeq lists it as uncharacterized. The record is from RefSeq and is a predicted model, not a curated record. Lineage: Eukaryota; Metazoa; Chordata; Aves; Passeriformes; Fringillidae. The transcript is spliced from 3 exons.
CCCUGCUCGCCUCCGCCGGAGGCGCCCUGGCCCAGAGGGCAUUAGCUGUUCUUGGGUGUUAAUAAGACAAGAAAGCGUAUUCUCUACGGCUGACAGCGUUGCACUCAAACUAGUCUGGGUGGGUUUUUUUUGUCCUAAACCUGUGGUGAGAUCCUGGCUCAGAAUAGCAAGAAUCAGCUGAACUGCAAAACUCCAGCUGUCCCCAGCCCAUCCUUCUGGCAGUGUUGACCCGCCUGCCCUCAGGAACUACAAAAGCAUAGCACUCAAAGGCUCUGAUUUGCCUCCCAGGCAGGAACCAGGACAGUCUCAAAGCAGAUUUUUACUCUGAGGAUAUCUGCUGAAAAAGUGACAUAACGGCUCUUAUUCUUCAAUGGAAACAGAGGUUUCAUCAGAGAACAGUGAUGAAACCCACAAAUGAAUUCAUCUGUGCCUUACCUUGUAUCCUACUGGAGAA